GUUUGUCAGUCUGUGCCUGGUGAGCCUUUUCUAGUAUAGAGACUACCCAGGUAGCGUAAAGAGUCCUGGGUUUGAAUGAGGACACUUUCACUUUGCAAGGAGCCGUACUGGAAGAGGCACUAUGGUGAAAUUUGGCUGGGACCUUCAUCUUGCCUGCUACAAUGUGGUGCUCUGGACAUCUCUGCAGGGGGACAAGCAGUGUGGAAGACACAAGCUACUUCAGGGGCUAUGAUGACAGGCUGUUGGUCAACUGAUGAAUUAUUGGAAGUCUAUUACUGCAGGAACCAGGGGCCUAUUGUUUUAUGGAUACAAUUCAGGGGACCCAUGUAUUUGGAUGCAGAAAAUCAUCAUUUUAUUUUCAUAACCUCCUUCAUUUAUGGAUGCAGGAAUCAAAAACAUUUGUUAUCAAUACUUAUGACUAUGCUACUCAGAGAAAUCAGAGAUUUUUAAAAUUACAUAUUAAAGUUAUAUAUAUCC
Molecule: long non-coding RNA, 477 nt
Filed under: Heterocephalus glaber (naked mole-rat)
Lineage: Eukaryota; Metazoa; Chordata; Mammalia; Rodentia; Bathyergidae
Description: lncRNA (ENSHGLG00100041491.1)
Source: RNAcentral